Molecule: transfer RNA, 58 nt
Filed under: Urocitellus parryii (Arctic ground squirrel)
Lineage: Eukaryota; Metazoa; Chordata; Mammalia; Rodentia; Sciuridae
Also listed under: 1 other name
Description: Spermophilus parryii (Arctic ground squirrel) tRNA
Rfam family: tRNA
About the family: Transfer RNA (tRNA) molecules are approximately 80 nucleotides in length. Their secondary structure includes four short double-helical elements and three loops (D, anti-codon, and T loops).
Source: Rfam by way of RNAcentral
UAGCUCAGUUGGCAGAGUGCUUGCCUUGCAUGCACAAGGCCCUGGGUUCAAUUCCCAG